RNAcentral lists this long non-coding RNA (1040 nucleotides) under Scleropages formosus (Asian bonytongue). RNAcentral describes it as "lncRNA (ENSSFOG00015031231.1)". The record is from RNAcentral. Lineage: Eukaryota; Metazoa; Chordata; Actinopteri; Osteoglossiformes; Osteoglossidae.
CGAUGAGUGCUGCCCAUGGAGAGAUGCAAAUGGGAGCAUUUCGCUCCUGCCGCCGGCUGUUGGAGGAGAGAAGCAACAGCGAGACUGGAGGCUCUGACUCAGAUGGAGAAGAAUAAUGAGUCUCAAUUUAGCCCAGAUAAACUGGUCCCGACACGACCCGGCUGCAUCCGUUUACCGGGCCUUCGGAAAGGAAAAACAAGCGGCGGCCAGACAUGACUUCGAGUCACAGCUCCUCUGGCUUUUGACAAGGACGUGGAGGGCAUGCAGGGUCAGGCAAGGCCUGUGUCCAUAUAACAUAUGAAGAUCUCUGGAAUAUUUGUGAAGCGCAAACUGUACACUUGUUAUAUUUAGCUGAUACAAAACAGCAACUUACACCAAUUUACCCAUUUAUACACCAACCAACUAAUGUCAACGACUGCUUGUCCUAAGCAGGACCACAGUGAACCGGAGCCUGACCCGGCAACACAGGGCACAAGGCCAAAGGAGGAGAAGACACACCCUAGACAGGAUGCCAGUCCAUUGCAGGAGCACAACUAGGUACUCAGGCACACAGCCAAGCAAAGGUACUGGAACAAGUGUAGGGCAAGCACCUUGCUCAAGGACACUACAGCCAGAGAUCAAACCAGUAACCUUCAGAGCCAAAGGCAACCACUCCUACCACAACACCACACAAAGUUAAUCUAUCUACAGUUAUUUACCCAUUUUGUACAGCUGGGUAAUUUUACUGGAGCAAUUCAGGGCAAGAACCUUGUUCAAGGCUACUAGAACCAGAGGUGAAACUCAAACCUGUGACCUCUGGGUCCAAAGGCAGCAGCUCUAACCGGUGCACUACCAGCUGCCUCCAUGCAUCUUGGUAACUUUUACCAUAUCAGUUCAACGUAAGUAUUUUGAUCAAGGGCUUUACAGCAGGAGGUGGGAAGUAAACUUGUUUCCUUUGGAUCCAAAUGAAGAAGCUGGAACCACGACGCUCCCCGCUGCCCAGGUGUGUAAGUCACUAUUUCCUAAGUUAUUAUUUCAACUAGAUGUCCGGAAGCCAAGCU